Molecule: ribosomal RNA, 582 nt
Filed under: uncultured Tulasnella
Lineage: Eukaryota; Fungi; Basidiomycota; Agaricomycetes; Cantharellales; Tulasnellaceae
Description: eukaryotic LSU rRNA
Rfam family: 5.8S ribosomal RNA (bases 164-325)
Source: RNAcentral
AGGUGAACCUGCGGAAGGAUCAUAGUUGUCAGAUCAAGGGAGCGCAGGUCGCUCCCGUUCACAACCUAUUUUUAUGGACCGGUGGUGCUCGCUUCUUGGCGUCCCACCGAUCAGCCAUGCGUAUCUUGGUCAUUGUCUAGACACUUCUCAGUUGAAAAUACACAACUGGUAGCAUUGGAUCCCUUGGCAUGCCAUUCGAUGAAGACCGUAGCAAAUUGCGAUAAGUGGUGUGAUAUGCGAGUCCAAAACUUAUACGUGAACCAUCGAAUUGUUGAACGCAUCGCAUCGAGCUUUGCCCAAGCACGAUAUGCCCCAUUGAGCGUCAUUAUGUCUUUGAAUAAAGGUUUCCCUUUUUCAAGUUCGGGAUUCAUGGCCUCUUGUGCCACGCUUCCUUGGAUGCAUUCGCAUCGCGUGCACGUUGCGCUCCUUGUUGUGAACUUCAAGGUGCUGCUUCGAGUCGCGCAUGCAUUGCUUGGCCCUAUACGGUUGCCAAUCGAAACUGUGCAGCGUCCCCACGCUCACCUCUCUUGACAUGACCUCACGGGGGCAAGACAACCCGCUAGACUUAAGCAUAUUAAUCAG